UGGUGGUGCGAGCUGUCUGGUUGAUUCCGUUAACGAGCGAGACCUUUGCUGCAUACUAGAAAGACUGAGAUAUUGCGUCAAGGCUGUAGCGGACAUAUGAGGUCAUCCCUCGGGACCCUUUUAUGCAUCGGCUGCAGUUGCUUUUCUCCGGUCGUAUCUUCUUUGCGGGACUAAUGUGGAAAACACAUUGGAAGUUGGAGGCAAAAACA
This 209-nucleotide ribosomal RNA is filed under the name uncultured eukaryote. RNAcentral describes it as "partial 18S ribosomal RNA". It matches the Rfam family "Eukaryotic small subunit ribosomal RNA", at positions 1299 to 1458 of the family's 1831-position model. The record is from RNAcentral.